GUUAGGAAUUUUGCACAAUGGGGGAAACCCUGAUGCAGCAACGCCGCGUGGAUGAAGAAGGCCUUCGGGUCGUAAAAUCCUUUUCAACGGGAAGAAACGGACGGUACCGUUGGAAUAAGCAUCGGCUAACUACGUGCCAGCAGCCGCGGUAAUACGUAGGAUGCAAGCGUUAUCCGGAUUUACUGGGCGUAAAGAGCGCGUAGGUGGUUUCGUAAGUUGGGCGUGAAAGCCCCCGGCUUAACUGGGGAGGGUCGUUCAAAACUACGAGACUUGAGGGUGGAAGAGGAGAUUGGAAUUCCCGGUGUAGUGGUGAAAUGCGUAGAUAUCGGGAGGAACACCUGUGGUGAAGACGAAUCUCUGGGCCACUCCUGACACUGAGGCGCGAAAGCGUGGGGAGCGAACGGAAUUAGAAACCCCGGUAGUCC
Molecule: ribosomal RNA, 425 nt
Filed under: uncultured bacterium
Lineage: Bacteria
Description: bacterial SSU rRNA
Rfam family: Bacterial small subunit ribosomal RNA
Source: RNAcentral